Pan troglodytes (chimpanzee) is the source of this 799-nucleotide long non-coding RNA. RefSeq lists it as uncharacterized. The transcript has 2 exons. NCBI's taxonomy places the organism in Eukaryota, Metazoa, Chordata, Mammalia, Primates, Hominidae. The record is from RefSeq and is a predicted model, not a curated record.
UAGGUGAUGGCCGGAAGAACAUGGCAGAGAGCAAAACAAAACAGCAUUGGGAACAAGCUCUGUUUAAAAGGAGACUUGUGAACAGCAAAGAGUAGAAAGGGUUCUCUUACAACUGAAGCCCAUGGAAGACAAAUGUGUACUGCGUAUUAUGAGAUUCUGGAAUUUCCCCAAACCACAUUGAUUGCUGGGAGAAUAAAAGAAGUGGAUUACAAGUGGAACUUAGAAGGGGAGUAUUCGAGAAGACGUCUCUGCAAAUCCAUUUAGAGAGACCUUUCUCCAGUGGUGACUCAAAGAUGCAGCUCCUUUCAUCCUGUGGCUUGGCCAUCUUCAGCACAUGGCUCCCAAGGAUGUCCUCAGGAUGGUCUCUAAUCCAAGGAGCCUGAAGAGAAAAAAAGGCAUGGAGUAUUGUGAGUGGUAGGUGGUUAUGGACCAGUUAUGGAAGAAUACACAUCACUUUUGCCCACCUUCUACUAACCAGAACUCACACAGCCAUAGACACUGACAAGUAGGACUUAACAAGAAUCUAAUUUUGAGUCUAGGAAUACGACUGUAGCAAAUAUUUAACAGCUUCAAACACAGGUGCAUUGCUAUCACUAUGCCUGGCCCAGGCCUGUCUCCCUUUCCGGCCAUGUCACAGGGGCCAGCAUUUAUGUCUAGAUUGGGUUGGUUGGGAUAUUAAGACAAUAAUGAACCAAUACAACAUCUUGAGCAUAAAACCAGCUGAUACAAUGAUGUACAAGUCAGAUGAUUCUGAUGAUUAUGAAUUAUGUCAAUAAAAGAAAUGUGAUAACUAAGGUAA